CUUACUUUGACAACCUAGGAUUUAAAAAAAGAAUUUACUUUUUGGAUACCCUUCCACCUUUUUUUUCUUCUUGCUUUUUUUUUUUGUUUGUUUGUUUUGUUUUGUUUUUGUUUUUUUUUUGGUUUUUUUUUUGUUUGUUUUUUUUUUUGUUUUCCUGGUAACCUCCAUCUGAAAGGAUUUAUUAAUUAAACCAGUAGAAUGGAGUAAUCACUUUACAAGGGUAGUCAGCUUCCCCAUUUUCUCCUAAGGUGCAAAAAGGACAAAAUAUUAUUUUGCUAUUUUAUAUAGCUGAAAACAAGUGAGAACAACUGACAAUAAUUACAUUAGAGAAAGUUAGUCUUCAUUUUAUUCUUAUUGAAUGCAAUGAAAGGAAAAAACAGUCUGAAGAAAAGGAGCAUGACACAGAAGAAAGCACAUAUUUCAACCUCACUAAAAUAAAGAGAUAGAAAUCAUAUGUAACAGACUUUUCAAUGUGCAAUUGCCUGAUGAAAGUGCUACUCUUCAGCUUAAUUUAAAAGGAAAUUUUUAUUAUCAAGAAUAUCAAAAGCAAAUGUUGUUAUACAACAUUUUUAUCUGAUUAUUUAAUCAAAUCUUUCCCUUAUCACCUGUUCAAAAGCUUGCCAUUUCAGCAAUAUUUCAAUAAUUAAAUUUGUGUUAAGAAAACCAUACUGGUUAACUUGGGCUACAACAAAGUGUUCAUCUUAUUCCAGUUCUCCAGCUCUGGCAGAAGUCACUAUGGGGCCUGUGAAUGCAGGAUAAGAACAGACUGAAAUUUCACCUCCAGCUUCUAGUUUUCCUGAAGCGACUUUUCUUCCUUCUACUCUUCCACUUUCUGAACAUGCUGAGCAACUUUAAAUAUAACCAAGGGGUACAGAUGAAGUAUAUUUGUGUACUUGCACAAAUGCUGAACAGUGUCCUUUCUGCUGCUAUUCACACAAAGGACGUAGAUUUUCAUUUGCCACUUUGUAUGGCAAAACCUGCUCAAUUUAAAUAUUGACUGGAUUCUGUUGUUAUUAUGGUAAGUCAUCAUAAAUAUAAGUUUCCUUUUCUUUGGUACUAAUAAUUUAGUUUUGGUGGUUAAUUUUUAGCUGGAUUAGCUUCCUAAAAGAGCUCACUCACUAGUCUCAAAAAUGUGAAUAUUAACAGAGUGGAGAGAGAGAAAGCAAAGAGGCUCAGAGUAAUGAAGGAUAAUUGUAUCAUAGAGUGUUGGAUAUAGGUGACAUUAAGCUGAGAUGGAAUUACAUGCUUUAUUUCCUGUACUUAACAGAACUAAUCUCUGAUUCCAUGUCAACACCCAGCAUGUGAGGACAGCUUGCCUUUUGCAUAGUGUAGAUUAUACAUGACAAUGACUUUUAGAUUAGGUGUUCUGUCAUACAAUUAUUUUUCCUCAUGUUAGAAAAACAAAUAUUUACAACAGGAGAAGCAGUUUUUCAGCCCCCUGUGUCUUUUAGCUAAGAAGAAAGGGGCGAGGAAGUUACUUCUUUAUUUUCCUUUAUUUCUCAUGACAGUGUACAUUUUUGAGUAAAAUUGAAUUGGCUUCAGUGAAAUACUUCAAGUCUUGGAAAAUUGAAUACUUCACAUCUCAUAAAUUACCCCUCUGAUCUGAAAUAAUUAUAUAACUAUUUAUUAAAAAAUAAUGAAUGUGGUAGGUU
This 1652-nucleotide long non-coding RNA is filed under the name Lonchura striata (white-rumped munia). RNAcentral describes it as "domestica (Bengalese finch) lncRNA (ENSLSDG00000000178.1)". Lineage: Eukaryota; Metazoa; Chordata; Aves; Passeriformes; Estrildidae. The record is from RNAcentral.